UUCAGAGCCACUGACACGCCGACAGCACAAUGAUGAUGUCACUGACUCUACUGCUGGCCACCCUGGGGCUCCUUGUUCAGGGUUCAUCAGGAGAAAUCGUCCUGACUCAGUCUCCUGGAUCUCAGUCUGUUCUUCCAGGACAGUCUGUCUCCAUCACAUGUAGAUCCAGUUCAAGUAUCAGUAACUACCUCCACUGGUACCUUCAGAAACCUGGAGAAGCUCCUAAACUCCUCAUUCGUUAUGCUACAACUCGUCAUUCUGGAGUUUCUGAUCGUUUCAGUGGAAGUGGAUCUGGAUCUGACUACACUUUGACCAUCAGUAGAGUUCAGAAUGAAGAUUCAGGAGUUUAUUAUUGUUCUCAGAGUGGUCACAGCUUCCCGUUCACACAGUGAAAACCCGUCGUACAAAAACCUCCCUAAGCUGAAGAGGAACUGAUCAACAGCUGCAAUGAAACCAAACCAACAGAGGUUUGAAAAAUACAAUAUGAAUCAUAAAAUAACACAAACCUCAUCGUAUUUUAAAUAUUUUUUUUACAACAUUUUUAAUGUUGUUAUCGACAUAUUAAGUCUAGU
Non-coding RNA from Mugil cephalus (flathead mullet), 572 nucleotides. The record is from the annotation of a RefSeq genome assembly. NCBI's taxonomy places the organism in Eukaryota, Metazoa, Chordata, Actinopteri, Mugiliformes, Mugilidae.